AUGGCUUCUUUAUUUCCCAAAGAGAAGUACAUUCAAUAUCUUCUUGUUUGUGAUGAUCUUAGAGAUAAGGUCACUGUUGACACUCCCAUGGAGCUCAACGUCCACCUUUGUGCUUUCGACAAUGAGCCUUUGUUGUAUCUGACGCGCUACCGUCAUCUUGUUGGGAGUCUUGUCUAUUUAGAUGUCACUCGUCCAGACAUUUCAUAUCACAUUCUCAUUCUAAGUCAAUUUGUCUCUAUUCCCACUUUCAUCCACUUGAGUCACCUCCCCCCCUGUUCUACGAUAUCUUUGUGGAACUACCUCUCACCGUCUCUCCCUUAA
This 321-nucleotide ribosomal RNA is filed under the name Triticum aestivum (bread wheat). RNAcentral describes it as "partial small subunit ribosomal RNA". Lineage: Eukaryota; Viridiplantae; Streptophyta; Magnoliopsida; Poales; Poaceae. The record is from RNAcentral.